Dermacentor silvarum is the source of this 668-nucleotide long non-coding RNA. RefSeq lists it as uncharacterized. The record is from RefSeq and is a predicted model, not a curated record. Lineage: Eukaryota; Metazoa; Arthropoda; Arachnida; Ixodida; Ixodidae. The transcript is spliced from 3 exons.
CUCUUACAGUCUCUAUCAGCCACGUAUGUCGAUUCUGGUUACCGGCAAGGCAGAUUGAACUUUAACAAAUGCUCGCUAGUAUCAUAUGCACUGUUCUCGUUAUGCGAGCAUUUUCUGGGCCUAAUGUCGCCACAGCAUCAUCGCGGUACCAUGAUAACUGCGUUGUCUGCAGGUGCCGUUCUCCACCUUACAACCAAUGCAAGUUAAACAGCAUAUGCUACUGUGUUGAAGGGUGUCUCCGUCGAGGUUCGUACGGCCCCUUAGUGAGACGCCGAGAGUGCAAUCUAAAUAAUAGAUAUAUACAUCUCUCUUGAGUUGGCGAUAAUGCUGUCAUCGCUGGAUGAGGAUGACGACAAGAUAAAAACAUCAAGUUUCAAAAUCAGAUUCAGCACACCCUGGUUCGAAACAACAAUGUCAUUAAUAGAACUAUGCGUCGGCUCUAUAAAAAGAGGAACAACGGAGUUAUCGAGCGUAAAAACAGUUUUAAAGUAACUAUUAAAUGCGUUUGCAAUCAUUGCAGUGUCACUUGUAACUGUGUUGUUUAUUUCAAAAGUAUUACUGGCGGAUUCCUUUGGCAGAAAAGAGCUCCAAAAUUUACGUGGAUUAUUUCUAAGCAAACUUGGAAGUGUUACCUGGAAGUAAAAAUCCCGAGCAGCAUUACUUUUGCU